This 350-nucleotide ribosomal RNA is filed under the name Desulfomonile tiedjei. Its description in RNAcentral is "bacterial SSU rRNA". It matches the Rfam family "Bacterial small subunit ribosomal RNA", at positions 1 to 330 of the family's 1533-position model. The record is from RNAcentral. Lineage: Bacteria; Pseudomonadati; Thermodesulfobacteriota; Desulfomonilia; Desulfomonilales; Desulfomonilaceae.
UUAAACUGGAGAGUUUGAUCCUGGCUCAGAACGAACGCUGGCGGCGUGCCUAACACAUGCAAGUCGCACGAGAAACACGUCCUUCGGGGCGUGGAGUAAAGUGGCGCACGGGUGAGUAACACGUGGGUAACCUGCCCUUGGGAUUGGGAUAACUGGCCGAAAGGCCCGCUAAUACCGGAUAAGACCACAUGAGCUCUGGCUCAAGGGGUCAAAGUCGGCCUCUCGAAGAAGCCGGCACCUGAGGAUGGGCCCGCGGACCAUUAGCUAGUUGGUGAGGUAACGGCUCACCAAGGCCGAGAUGGUUAGCUGGUCUGAGAGGAUGAUCAGCCACACUGGAACUGAGAUACGGU